GAUGAAGAACGUAGCGAAAUGCGAUAAGUAAUGUGAAUUGCAGAAUUCAGUGAAUCAUCGAAUCUUUGAACGCACAUUGCGCCCGCCAGUAUUCUGGCGGGCUUGCCUGUUCGAGCGUCAUUACAACCCUCAGGCCCCCGGGCCUGGCGUUGGGGAUCGGCGGAAGCCCCCUGCGGGCACAACGCCGUCCCCCAAAUACAGUGGCGGUCCCGCCGCAGCUUCCAUUGCGUAGUAGCUAACACCUCGCAACUGGAGAGCGGCGCGGCCACGCCGUAAAACACCCAACUUCUGAAUGUUGACCUCGAAUCAGGUAGGAAUACCCGCUGAACUUAAGCAUAUCAAUAAGCGGAGGA
RNAcentral lists this unclassified non-coding RNA (353 nucleotides) under soil metagenome. RNAcentral describes it as "partial contains 5.8S ribosomal RNA, internal transcribed spacer 2, and large subunit ribosomal RNA". The stretch from base 1 to 120 matches the Rfam family "5.8S ribosomal RNA", at positions 35 to 154 of the family's 154-position model. The record is from RNAcentral.